This 85-nucleotide transfer RNA is filed under the name Bacillota bacterium. RNAcentral describes it as "tRNA-Tyr". It matches the Rfam family "tRNA". Rfam says of the family: Transfer RNA (tRNA) molecules are approximately 80 nucleotides in length. The record is from RNAcentral. Lineage: Bacteria; Bacillati; Bacillota.
GGAGGGGUUCCCGAGUGGCCAAAGGGAGCAGACUGUAAAUCUGUUGGCACCGCCUUCGGUGGUUCGAAUCCACCCCCCUCCACCA